GGGUUGUGAGGUUAAGCGACUAAGCGUACACGGUGGAUGCCCUGGCAGUCAGAGGCGAUGAAGGGCGUGCUAAUCUGCGAUAAGCGCCGGUAAGGUGAUAUGAACCGUUAUAACCGGCGAUACCCGAAUGGGGAAACCCAGUGUGACUCGUCACACUAUCAUUAACUGAAUCCAUAGGUUAAUGAGGCGAACCGGGGGAACUGAAACAUCUAAGUACCCCGAGGAAAAGAAAUCAACCGAGAUUCCCCCAGUAGCGGCGAGCGAACGGGGAGGAGCCCAGAGCCUGAAUCAGCAUGUGUGUUAGUGGAAGCGUCUGGAAAGGCGCGCGAUACAGGGUGACAGCCCCGUACACAAAAGCGCAUGUGCUGUGAGCUCGAUGAGUAGGGCGGGACACGUGGUAUCCUGUCUGAAUAUGGGGGGACCAUCCUCCAAGGCUAAAUACUCCUGACUGACCGAUAGUGAACCAGUACCGUGAGGGAAAGGCGAAAAGAACCCCGGCGAGGGGAGUGAAAAAGAACCUGAAACCGUGUACGUACAAGCAGUGGGAGCACAGGUUUACCUGUGUGACUGCGUACCUUUUGUAUAAUGGGUCAGCGACUUAUAUUCUGUAGCAAGGUUAACCGAAUAGGGGAGCCGGAGGGAAACCGAGUCUUAACCGGGCGUUAAGUUGCAGGGUAUAGACCCGAAACCCGGUGAUCUAGCCAUGGGCAGGUUGAAGGUUGGGUAACACUAACUGGAGGACCGAACCGACUAAUGUUGAAAAAUUAGCGGAUGACCUGUGGCUGGGGGUGAAAGGCCAAUCAAACCGGGAGAUAGCUGGUUCUCCCCGAAAGCUAUUUAGGUAGCGCCUCGUGAAUUCAUCUCCGGGGGUAGAGCACUGUUUCGGCUAGGGGGCCAUCCCGGCUUACCAACCCGAUGCAAACUGCGAAUACCGGAGAAUGUUAUCACGGGAGACACACGGCGGGUGCUAACGUCCGUCGUGAAGAGGGAAACAACCCAGACCGCCAGCUAAGGUCCCAAAGUCAUGGUUAAGUGGGAAACGAUGUGGGAAGGCCCAGACAGCCAGGAUGUUGGCUUAGAAGCAGCCAUCAUUUAAAGAAAGCGUAAUAGCUCACUGGUCGAGUCGGCCUGCGCGGAAGAUGUAACGGGGCUAAACCAUGCACCGAAGCUGCGGCAGCGACACUGUGUGUUGUUGGGUAGGGGAGCGUUCUGUAAGCCUGUGAAGGUGGCCUGUGAGGGUUGCUGGAGGUAUCAGAAGUGCGAAUGCUGACAUAAGUAACGAUAAAGCGGGUGAAAAGCCCGCUCGCCGGAAGACCAAGGGUUCCUGUCCAACGUUAAUCGGGGCAGGGUGAGUCGACCCCUAAGGCGAGGCCGAAAGGCGUAGUCGAUGGGAAACGGGUUAAUAUUCCCGUACUUGGUGUUACUGCGAAGGGGGGACGGAGAAGGCUAUGUUGGCCGGGCGACGGUUGUCCCGGUUUAAGCGUGUAGGUGUGUGUUCCAGGUAAAUCCGGUUCACUUUAACACUGAGGCGUGACGACGAGGCACUACGGUGCUGAAGCAACAAAUGCCCUGCUUCCAGGAAAAGCCUCUAAGCAUCAGGUAACAUCAAAUCGUACCCCAAACCGACACAGGUGGUCAGGUAGAGAAUACCAAGGCGCUUGAGAGAACUCGGGUGAAGGAACUAGGCAAAAUGGUGCCGUAACUUCGGGAGAAGGCACGCUGACACGUAGGUGAAGUGAUUUACUCAUGGAGCUGAAGUCAGUCGAAGAUACCAGCUGGCUGCAACUGUUUAUUAAAAACACAGCACUGUGCAAACACGAAAGUGGACGUAUACGGUGUGACGCCUGCCCGGUGCCGGAAGGUUAAUUGAUGGGGUCAGCGCAAGCGAAGCUCCUGAUCGAAGCCCCGGUAAACGGCGGCCGUAACUAUAACGGUCCUAAGGUAGCGAAAUUCCUUGUCGGGUAAGUUCCGACCUGCACGAAUGGCGUAAUGAUGGCCAGGCUGUCUCCACCCGAGACUCAGUGAAAUUGAACUCGCUGUGAAGAUGCAGUGUACCCGCGGCAAGACGGAAAGACCCCGUGAACCUUUACUAUAGCUUGACACUGAACAUUGAGCCUUGAUGUGUAGGAUAGGUGGGAGGCUUUGAAGUGUGGACGCCAGUCUGCAUGGAGCCGACCUUGAAAUACCACCCUUUAAUGUUUGAUGUUCUAACGUGGACCCGU
Molecule: ribosomal RNA, 2222 nt
Filed under: Salmonella enterica subsp. enterica serovar Infantis
Lineage: Bacteria; Pseudomonadati; Pseudomonadota; Gammaproteobacteria; Enterobacterales; Enterobacteriaceae
Description: partial 23S ribosomal RNA
Rfam family: Bacterial large subunit ribosomal RNA
Source: RNAcentral